Molecule: long non-coding RNA, 2241 nt
Organism: Mustela lutreola (European mink)
Lineage: Eukaryota; Metazoa; Chordata; Mammalia; Carnivora; Mustelidae
Exons: 5
Source: RefSeq, a predicted model, not a curated record
UCUUACCAAAACAGCUGCGAAGCCAGACUGACUUCUAACCUCCCCUGUUGAAUACAAGAACUCUUGGCACAAUUACAGUGCAAGUAGCACAGAACCUAUGGGGUUACCAUUAUAGAAACAGACUUGGCCAGCAGGAAAUGUUUACAUCCUGCAUGGAACCCUGAUGUUCGACAUGAAACCAGAGCGACUCAUCAUGGUUAGAGAAAACAAAAGCCUCCAUCUUUGAACUUGCCUUGUAGCCCAAACAAACAAAUAUUCUCAUUUCCUUAUUGUCAAAUGCCUCACUUCCAGCUACUUUCAUUGAACUUUGGAUGCUCCUGAGAUGCAGGAAAUUAACAAUCCUGCUGAAAUACAAGCCACUUCCACCAGGGAGAACAGUAAACGACACAGCCAAGAGAGAUGGACCCUGGUUGAUCUUUGCAAUUCCUCAAACAUCUCCUAGAGAUCUUCUACUCUUGGGGGUCCCAAGCUCCAGAAUACAGAAACCCCUUUGUUUAGGAUCUCAUCUUAUGUAUUUCUUCAUCUGGCUGUUGUUUCCCCUCAAUAAACCACUUUCACCCAAAUCCUCUCACAUCAGAGUUUGAACUGUGGAAACCCAACCUAGGAUGCCGGGUCAAACCCACUCCUGGAAGUUGCCAGGCCUGAGAAGCACCAUCAUCUUGGCACAACCAACUUUCACAUCUCAUAAGAGUAGAAGCAAAGACUUUUUUCCAGAAGAAAAGAAGACACAAGUUUCAUACACUGUUCCAUCUUGCAUUGUUCCUGCUGCUCACAGUGCGUGUGUGAUGUCUUGUCCCCAAGGACGUGUGGUGAUUAUCCAACAUGGGAUGAACCUCUAACGUGCAUCUGUGGUUCCAGCUCACCCUGAGGGUUUGCAACUUUAGUGACUGGCCAAGGACUAACACUUUGGAAUCAGUCCUACCUUCUCUUCUUGCCUGGCAGGCUCACCUCAGGAGCAGGUGCUAAAGAUAGAGCCCCAACGAGCCUCAGAAGAACUCAUCAUUGUUCCUGCAGCUCUGUUCCAAAAGUCGGAGAACGUGCAGUGAUUAGAAACGUGCAUUUGUUGCGGUGUAUGUGUAUGUGUGUGUUUUCACGUUGCGGCUUAGACAAAAAUGGGGGUUUUCGGGCUUUUCAUCAAAGUCCAGUGAGGGCUUGUGCUUAGUUUUGAACUCUGACCAGCUCUUUUAAGACCCCUUUAGAUACAAAGAUUCCUUGUUUUUGUAGGAAGAUGAGCAAUGGGGAUUUUGCACAAUGCUGAGUGUGCAGUUACCAUAGAAUAUGGGUAAAAAAAGAUUUAUGUGCAGAAUUAUGAACAAAUUCAGAAAAAAAUAAAAAUAUAAAAUAUAGAAAUCAUAAAAUGAAUGUGGGCAGCCACAGGUGAAACUCUUUCCAGAAAUAAUUCAAGUAAAUAAUGGGAAGCUCUUUAAUUUCAUCCAGAAACUAGGUACUUCCCUCAAAGCUCAUUAAAAAUGCAUAAAUUUAAAUGUAACAAAGAUCUGACAAAUAAGGAGAUAAUAAUAAUAAUAACAAUAAUAAUGCAUAAGCCACAGUACUAUACAUGGCACUGAAUGUUUGUUCCUUCCUCACCCAAAUAAUUAUAAAAUGUAAUGUUUUAAGGAUAGGUGUCAGUAGUCUGUAUGAAGAAUAGAGGGGAAAAAAAAAAAGCCUCUUUCUGAGUAUUACCAGAAAUAUCCAAUGGUGAGAGUUGCCUAGCUGCCCUAUGUAAACAUUCUGUUUAUCUUGGCAGGCACUUACUUAUAUGGGGAACCUGGCAUUAGUGCAGGAUAAUGUGAUAACAUUAACCAGAAAGAUUAUUUAACUUUCUCUACACGGACUCAAUACCCACCAGAAAUGUUUGGACAUCAGUUUUUUUUCUUGACUUUCCUAAUAGGACAAGUUUGCUUUUGGCAAACACUAGAAAUAUUCUAAUUUACUUUAUGAUAUUUUUGCCAAGUACCAAUUAAUAGUAAUUUUCUUUCUAAAUUAACAUAUAACGUAUUAUUUGUUUCAGAGGUACAGGUCUGUGAUUCAUCAGUCUUACAUAAUGCCCAGGGCUCAUUACAACACAUACCCUCCCCAGUGUCCAUCACCCCGUUAUCCCAUUCCCUCCACCCCACCUCCCUCCAGCAACCCUCAGUUUAUUUCUUUCCUAUGAUUAAGACUCUCUUAUGGUUUGUCUCCUUCUCUUGUUUUCUUGUUUCUGUUUAAAGACACAUUUUGAUAAGUUUUAUAAUAAAGAGA